AGAGAAACAAUAAAGAAAAAGAAGAAAACAACACUUUGCAAAAAAAAAAAAAAAAAAACAUUUUACAGGUGAAAACGAUGGCGUCUGAGGAAAUGAAGUCAAAAGAGUACAUGAGCCAAAAGAUGCCCCGAGAAGUCUUGACUCUGAAUCAGAUUAUGAACAGUCCUGAUUAUGAAGGAACCACCAUGUUUGUCCAAAAAACAAAAAAGAACCACCAUUUCUACUCCAGGUUACUCUCAACUGUUUAGCCGCAGCAUCUCGGGAGAAUCGUCCGGAUUUGAUACCCGACCCUAUAGCGGGCCUACCUUGAGGGCCAAGAAAUCUGGAUGUGGCAAUGGCUACAGCAGCGAAAAUUACCCGCGUUACUAAACUUAUAUAUUUAAGUUUUCACCUGCAAAAUGAAGUUUUUUAAGUUCGAACUUCAAACUUAAGAUCAAUACUCUUGAAAACCAUGAUUUUUUUUUUUUUAACCAUUGGGUAACACAUUACAUCUCCACUGAUAAGGUUUCCACGAUGAAACUCUCCCUGAAACACUUGGAUCAUCGUACGGUUCUGCAUGUACGACAUUUUCGAUGGAUAAGCUCUUUUCGCAGUAGACAACCACAACAAACGGCUCUACCUACAAUACUUUGGAACCUCUGAUAAGCCUCGUAUCAUAUAAUUUGCAAGAAAUUGCAUGGUAUAGGAAUCAAACACCAAACCUAAGUGUAAAAACUUUUAAACCUUAACCAGUAAAUUACGGUCAUACCCGAUCCGACACCAUGUGGCACCUAAAGCUCAAAAACUUUCAAUCCAUCAAUAAAAUAUAUAGCGUAACACAAGUUAUAACACCAACCACUACACCACUGUCAUUUUAGCUAAACUCAUGCCCCUAAAAUAUAUAACAUAAUUUUGGCGUCUAAAGUAAUAAAGAUUUUACCUGCUUUAGCGCAGGGUCCUGAUUACGGUGCUUCCACAUGAGUCUUUAAUUUAUACUAUUCAUUUUUAUCUUAUUUGUUUUCGAUUUCCUUUUUUAGAUGGGCAGAUGGGUUGGAGUUGGACUACGUAAACGGAGAGAUGAAGACAGACCAAUUAGCUAAAGGGCCAUAUAAAUUAAGUAGUAUGUAUAUAUGAAUGGUAAAAUAAGAAUCCAAGGAUGGAUGCCUCGUGAAAAUAUUAAUAAUGAGAUUGUCUCAUUAUUAUCAAUAUCAUGCGGUUUCUUUGCAAAGCAACUAUGGAAUGAUAAUUCUACAAUAUCUCUUUACCUACUUAUAUUAUUUCAAACGAUAGUGACGUUAAAGAAAAAUUAAAGGAGGGAAAAUAUAUUUUAGCAUAAAUAAUAGUGCAAUAUUAAAAAAUAAAACUUGGGGAUAAACUUUCACAGUUUUUACACU
This 1373-nucleotide long non-coding RNA is filed under the name Brassica rapa (field mustard). RNAcentral's name for it is "long non-coding RNA (BRAP_LNC006417)". The record is from RNAcentral. Lineage: Eukaryota; Viridiplantae; Streptophyta; Magnoliopsida; Brassicales; Brassicaceae.